AACGCUGGCGGCAGGCUUAACACAUGCAAGUCGAACGGUAACAUGAGUGCUUGCACUUGAUGACGAGUGGCGGACGGGUGAGUAAGGUAUGGGGAUCUGCCGAAUGGAGGGGGACAACAGUUGGAAACGACUGCUAAUACCGCAUAACGUUGAGAGACCAAAGCAUGGGACCUUCGGGCCAUGCGCCAUUUGAUGAACCCAUAUGGGAUUAGCUAGUUGGUGGGGUAAGGGCUCACCAAGGCGACGAUCUCUAGCUGGUCUGAGAGGAUGACCAGCCACACUGGAACUGAGACACGGUCCAGACUCCUACGGGAGGCAGCAGUGGGGAAUAUUGCACAAUGGGGGGAACCCUGAUGCAGCCAUGCCGCGUGUAUGAAGAAGGCCUUCGGGUUGUAAAGUACUUUCGGUAGUGAGGAAGGUAGUGUAUCUAAUAGGUGCACUAAUUGACGUUAAUUACAGAAGAAGCACCGGCUAACUCCGUG
Molecule: ribosomal RNA, 482 nt
Filed under: uncultured bacterium
Lineage: Bacteria
Description: bacterial SSU rRNA
Rfam family: Bacterial small subunit ribosomal RNA
Source: RNAcentral